GAGAAGUAUCUUUUGAUGAUGAUGAAGUUCACUAGACUCACUGUCUUCGAUGGAUCUCACUUCUGCAUCAAUGGCAACUACUCCCUCAUUCAUACAAUAAGAAGGUCUAGCAGGACAAGUAUUAGCCAUCCAGGAAAAUUCAAAGAAGCACAGCUAUCUACAAGCCAUUUAAAAAUGCCUAGAAAGCCUUGGACAAGAAGGCAUUUGAAGGAAGGAGUUGAAAGAAGAAAACAGAGUGACUUUUCAGAUGUUUCCAGAAGAAUUUUAUUCAAAGAAGGUCAUGAUAUGGGAGAAGAUAGACCUGUAUUGAUACAUUAAUCUAAAACAGCAGGAACUAUGAAUAAUAAUAAUAAAACAAAUCUCCUUG
Molecule: long non-coding RNA, 367 nt
Filed under: Gallus gallus (chicken)
Lineage: Eukaryota; Metazoa; Chordata; Aves; Galliformes; Phasianidae
Description: long non-coding RNA NONGGAT003841
Source: RNAcentral